GACGAACGCUGGCGGCGUGCUUAACACAUGCAAGUCGAACGGAAAGGCCCUGCUUUUGUGGGGUGCUCGAGUGGCGAACGGGUGAGUAACACGUGAGUAACCUGCCCUUGACUUUGGGAUAACUUCAGGAAACUGGGGCUAAUACCGGAUAGGAGCUCCUGCUGCAUGGUGGGGGUUGGAAAGUUUCGGCGGUUGGGGAUGGAAUCGCGGCUUAUCAGCUUGUUGGUGGGGUAGUGGCUUACCAAGGCUUUGACGGGUAGCCGGCCUGGGAGGGUGACCGGCCACAUUGGGACUGAGGAGCGGCCCAGACUCCUACGGGAGGCAGCAGUGGGGAAUAUUGCACAAUGGGCGGAAGCCUGAUGCAGCAACGCCGCGUGCGGGAUGACGGCCUUCGGGUUGUAAACCGCUUUCGCCUGUGACGAAGCGUGAGUGACGGUAAUGGGUAAAGAAGCACCGGCUAACUACGUG
This 468-nucleotide ribosomal RNA is filed under the name uncultured bacterium. Its description in RNAcentral is "partial 16S ribosomal RNA". It matches the Rfam family "Bacterial small subunit ribosomal RNA", at positions 28 to 507 of the family's 1533-position model. The record is from RNAcentral.